Molecule: long non-coding RNA, 916 nt
Filed under: Felis catus (domestic cat)
Lineage: Eukaryota; Metazoa; Chordata; Mammalia; Carnivora; Felidae
Description: lncRNA (ENSFCAG00000050762.1)
Source: RNAcentral
ACCCUUGGGAGAGUUGCUAUAGAAUGAAUGUUUGUGUCCCCUCAAAUUCAUAUGCUGAAGCCUAAUUCCCCACAUGAUGUAUCUAACCUACUAGGAGAGAUUUAACAAAGGAUCCCAGAAUUACCUAUGGCUAGAAGUGGUCCCUGAAAACUUGCCCCAGAGCCUUUAAGCUCCCUGGAGGUAUCCACUGGGAGACCCACCUCUGUGAGAUAAUAAAGCCAUUAGAGACAAGCAGGUGAUGGCCAGACCCCAGGAUCCCUGCAGAUAUGACCAGGGCUCAGCCUCUGCCUUACUCCAAACUCGAGUAAGAGUUUUCACCCUUACUCUAAACUUUCUGGGAGGAAUUAAUACUUGAGAGAAACAUCAAUAGACUGGAUCUAAUGAGGUUUGGGGACCUGCACUCUCUGCUCACUGGCUGGGUCCAUCCUGCUGCUGACCAAACAGUCCUGUGGCAAAAAUAUCAGAGGGACUUCAAACGUGCAUGUCAGCUGUUUCUCACUGUUGAUGCAGGAAAUGAAGGAUGCAUCUCACACAGACAGGAUAAAGAGUUCCUUCUAUAGAAACUUGUUCUGGAUAUUUUCUUCCAUGUUUUUGUUGAAUAUCAUUGAAGCAGUCUCUGAUGGACCAAACCUGACCUACAAAAUAUGAAGCUAACAGUUAACAGAGAACCCAAUCUAAUACAUGAAGGGUUUGUGGUGACUGGUAUGUGAACAUAUAUCUAUUAAUCCAAACUUCACCAUCUACCCUGCAAAACAAUUUCCCAGUACAAAAACCCCCGCUAUUAGUAUUUAAACUUCAGAGAACAUAUGUCUCAGUAAAACUUGCCAACAAUCGUUUAUGUGGGAAAUAUCAGUAUUUGUAACUCCAAAAAUCAAUACAACAUGAAAACAAAUUAUAUACAAGGAAAGGUUCAAAU